This 371-nucleotide ribosomal RNA is filed under the name uncultured organism. RNAcentral's name for it is "partial 16S ribosomal RNA". It matches the Rfam family "Bacterial small subunit ribosomal RNA", at positions 527 to 896 of the family's 1533-position model. The record is from RNAcentral.
GGAGGGUGCAAGCGUUAAUCGGAAUUACUGGGCGUAAAGCGCGCGUAGGCGGCUUUGUAAGUCGGAUGUGAAAGCCCUGGGCUUAACCUGGGAAUUGCAUUCGAUACUGCAUAACUAGAGUAUGGUAGAGGGAAGUGGAAUUUCCGGUGUAGCGGUGAAAUGCGUAGAUAUCGGAAGGAACACCAGUGGCGAAGGCGACUUCCUGGGCCAAUACUGACGCUGAGGUGCGAAAGCGUGGGGAGCAAACAGGGAUUAGAUACCCUGGUAGUCCACGCCGUAAACGAUGAGAACUAGAUGUCGGGAGGAUCUGCCUUUCGGUGUCGCAGCUAACGCGUUAAGUUCUCCGCCUGGGGAGUACGCCGGCAACGGUA